GUUUAGCCCAGACGGCAGUGGCAUCCUUUUUGUUUUUGCCCCCGCUUUUUUUUGGGGCAAAAACAAAAAGAUAUAACGGACGGCUGGAACUGUC
RNAcentral lists this small RNA (94 nucleotides) under Flavobacterium branchiophilum. Its description in RNAcentral is "Flavo-1 RNA". It matches the Rfam family "Flavo-1 RNA". The record is from Rfam by way of RNAcentral. Lineage: Bacteria; Pseudomonadati; Bacteroidota; Flavobacteriia; Flavobacteriales; Flavobacteriaceae.